RNAcentral lists this transfer-messenger RNA (360 nucleotides) under Rhodocyclaceae. RNAcentral's name for it is "UBA1934 sp002068855 Standard tmRNA". It matches the Rfam family "transfer-messenger RNA". Rfam says of the family: Bacterial tmRNA, also known as 10Sa RNA or SsrA, is named for its dual tRNA and mRNA-like properties. RNAcentral also lists the same sequence under 1 other name. The record is from RNAcentral. Lineage: Bacteria; Pseudomonadati; Pseudomonadota; Betaproteobacteria; Rhodocyclales.
GGGGGCGACUUGGAUUCGACAGGGGUAACAAAGCAAGUGGGGCAUACCGAGGACCAGUCACCUCGUAAAUCCAUCUGGAAUGCUAUAACUGCCAACGACGAGCGUUUCGCUCUAGCCGCUUAAGCGGCUGGCCUCCGACCUGAUUUGCUCCUGGGUCAGGCAGCGCAAGCUGCAUCGGAGUCAUAGACACGAGAUAAGGUUGUGCCGCGUCGCGAGGCAUAGCUCGAAAACUUAGCGAAUCGCCUGACGUGAGCCUGUUCGGCCGGCGCAUCAGGGCUAAAUUCAAUAGACCGGACUAAGUAUGUAGAACUGCUUGUGGCGUGCUUCUGGACGCGGGUUCGAAACCCGCCGCCUCCACCA